RNAcentral lists this long non-coding RNA (222 nucleotides) under Glycine max (soybean). RNAcentral describes it as "long non-coding RNA (GMAX_LNC002818)". Lineage: Eukaryota; Viridiplantae; Streptophyta; Magnoliopsida; Fabales; Fabaceae. The record is from RNAcentral.
AAAAAGUAACACCCUCCAAAAAAAGUUUCGAAACAAAUCCUUUUUAAGAAUAAGUUUCUAAAAGGAACCCACUUUAGUCAAUUUGCUCAAAGGAUAAAGCAUUGAUGAUAUAUAUAGCAACCCUUAUUUUAAGAACAAAAUGGGAAGAAUCUCUUGAGUUGGGACCAUGUUUUGUUUCCGAGAAUUUGGUAAGAAAAUGAUUGUAGAUGGACACCUUGAUUA